UGGGGAAUCUUGCACAAUGGAGGAAACUCUGAUGCAGCGACGCCGCGUGAGCGAUGAAGCCUUUCGGGGUGUAAAGCUCUUACGCCAGGGACGAUAGUGACGGUACCUGGAGACGCAGCUGCGGCUAACUACGUGCCAGCAGCCGCGGUAAUACGUAGGCAGCAAGCGUUGUUCGGAAUUACUGGGCGUAAAGGGUGCGUAGGCGGUGCUCUAAGUUUGGUGUGAAAUCUCCCGGCUCAACUGGGAGGGUGCGCCGAAAACUGGAGUGCUUGAGUGCGGGAGAGGAAAGCGGAAUUCCUGGUGUAGCGGUGAAAUGCGUAGAGAUCAGGAGGAACACCUGCGGUGUAGACGGCUUUCUGGACCGUAACUGACGCUGAGGCACGAAAGCGUGGGGAGCAA
Molecule: ribosomal RNA, 399 nt
Filed under: uncultured bacterium
Lineage: Bacteria
Description: bacterial SSU rRNA
Rfam family: Bacterial small subunit ribosomal RNA
Source: RNAcentral